RNAcentral lists this ribosomal RNA (251 nucleotides) under uncultured prokaryote. RNAcentral describes it as "partial 16S rRNA". It matches the Rfam family "Bacterial small subunit ribosomal RNA", at positions 525 to 775 of the family's 1533-position model. The record is from RNAcentral.
ACGUAGGGGGCGAGCGUUAUUCGGAAUUACUGGGUGUAAAGGGCAUGUAGGCGGCCCUUCAAGUCGCGUGUCAAAGUCCAGUGCUCAACGCUGGGCGUGCGCUUGAUACUGUCGAGCUUGAGUGCUGGAGAGGUGAGCGGAAUUCCCGGUGUAGUGGUAAAAUACGUAGAGAUCGGGAGGAACACCAGCGGCGAAGGCGGCUUACUAGACAGUUUCUGACGCUAAGAUACGAGAGCGUGGGGAGCAAACAG